Long non-coding RNA from Capsicum annuum, 746 nucleotides. RefSeq lists it as uncharacterized. The transcript is spliced from 2 exons. NCBI's taxonomy places the organism in Eukaryota, Viridiplantae, Streptophyta, Magnoliopsida, Solanales, Solanaceae. The record is from RefSeq and is a predicted model, not a curated record.
UAAAAUAAUUAAAAAAGUGAAAGAAAAUAUAAUUACUUUCAAAAGAGUUGGUAUUUAUAUUAUUUAUACUCUAUUUAUAUCUCAACAAAACAAAUGAAACCCAGUUUUUACAUUGAAGGCCCAAAGUUCGAAUAAAGACCCGGUCCAAUAAAAGAAGAUGGAGAGUUUCCUAAAACAAAUAUCUAGCCAAGAGUAGUCAAUACUUAUCUUCACCAAGCUCCGCCGCACUUGACUGAUGUUCUCCCCAAUCUGGAUCCCUCAUUUCAUCUUCUUCCUCCUCUGGGUGACUCACAAGCUCCAUCCUUGUGUCUCCAAGAAUAUCUCAGCUCAAACUAUCAUCUUUGCCUUUGGUAAGGUAUCAAUCUUUUCCUUCAUUUGCUUUACCUACCAUUUACUAACACUCUUCAAGAUUUCAGGUGGUCGGGGUUUCUUAUCCCCACAGGACUGUUGUUUAAGAUGCUGCUAGCCCAAUUUGUACCAUUUUAUGUCAGCUCUGACUGGACAUGCACUUUAAGUUCCAACACAAAUCUGGCGUAUUGCAGUGGGAGGUUCCCUCUACCCCUUUUUUGGUGAAGUAUUUUUGGUAGCUAAGGCAACUUGCUCGGUGUAGCACAAAUUGUUUGUCUUUACUUUGACAAAACCUCUAUGUUUGUGCUUGUUGUUAUGUCGUACCUCCUUGGGAUUGUAAUUAUUGGGACCCUUUCUGCUUAUCUUUAUGUCAAGUAUCUGCUCCUUUCUCCUGUUUA